RNAcentral lists this ribosomal RNA (253 nucleotides) under Anaerobutyricum hallii. RNAcentral's name for it is "partial 16S ribosomal RNA". It matches the Rfam family "Bacterial small subunit ribosomal RNA", at positions 524 to 776 of the family's 1533-position model. Lineage: Bacteria; Bacillati; Bacillota; Clostridia; Lachnospirales; Lachnospiraceae. The record is from RNAcentral.
UACGUAUGGAGCAAGCGUUAUCCGGAUUUACUGGGUGUAAAGGGUGCGUAGGUGGCAGUGCAAGUCAGAUGUGAAAGGCCGGGGCUCAACCCCGGAGCUGCAUUUGAAACUGCUCGGCUAGAGUACAGGAGAGGCAAGCGGAAUUCCUAGUGUAGCGGUGAAAUGCGUAGAUAUUAGGAGGAACACCAGUGGCGAAGGCGGCCUGCUGGACUGUUACUGACACUGAGGCACGAAAGCGUGGGGAGCAAACAGG